Gossypium raimondii (Peruvian cotton) is the source of this 145-nucleotide non-coding RNA. The record is from Rfam. NCBI's taxonomy places the organism in Eukaryota, Viridiplantae, Streptophyta, Magnoliopsida, Malvales, Malvaceae.
UGUUAAAAAUUUCAUCUAUUUGUAUGAUUAAAACUUAGCGUGGCUGAUGAAAUAAUUAGAUAGUGACAUGGAACGUGUCAUAUGUACGUCAUGUUGAUGUACAAGAAAUAGUUUUUACUAGUAGAAAUCGAUGAAAUUUUCAAAA